Molecule: transfer RNA, 89 nt
Filed under: Plasmodium vivax North Korean
Lineage: Eukaryota; Apicomplexa; Aconoidasida; Haemosporida; Plasmodiidae
Description: tRNA-Ser
Rfam family: tRNA
About the family: Transfer RNA (tRNA) molecules are approximately 80 nucleotides in length. Their secondary structure includes four short double-helical elements and three loops (D, anti-codon, and T loops).
Source: RNAcentral
GGAAGCUUACCCAAGUGGUUGAAGGGAUCAGUCUUGAAAACUGAGAGGGAUCUUGAAGGUUCGCGGGGGUUCGAAUCCCUCAGCUUCCG